GUGCCAGCAGCCGCGGUAAUACGUAGGACGCAAGCGUUAUCCGGAUUUAUUGGGUUUAAAGGGUGCGUAGGCGGACCCAUAAGUCAGUGGUGAAAGACUGUCGCUUAACGAUAGCAUUGCCAUUGAUACUGUGGGUCUUGAGUAUAAUUGAGGUAGGCGGAAUGUGUAGUGUAGCGGUGAAAUGCUUAGAUAUUACACAGAACACCGAUUGCGAAGGCAGCUUACUAAGUUAUAACUGACGCUGAGGCACGAAAGCGUGGGGAUCAAACAGGAUUAGAAACCCUGGUAGUCC
Molecule: ribosomal RNA, 292 nt
Filed under: uncultured bacterium
Lineage: Bacteria
Description: partial 16S ribosomal RNA
Rfam family: Bacterial small subunit ribosomal RNA
Source: RNAcentral